UUCUCGCUCAAAGAAUCGCAUUCGAAGCACACAUACAGAAAUAUCUUCAUCGAUGUUUCAAUUCACUUUAAUGCUUUGGGAGAAAGUCCCCGGACACCCUACUUUCUAAAAGUUAGGACUGCGGAAACGCGCCGCCAUAGAAGCACUUGCGGCUUCUCUUCUACCAAUUCUUUACCUUCAAUUCAUACAUCCUUCUGCCGUUUGUACCAUUAUCCUGAAGCUUCUUGACAAUUGGGUUCAGAGCUUGGAAGACCAUAUGGAUGAAGAUAUGAGUCCGAGCUUCCUUGCAAUGUUUUCAAUUAAAUAGAUGAAGAUGGGUUAUGGGUGGUAGAAGACAUGUUCUUGAUUAAGAUGGGAGUGCUAAUGGCAGAUGAGGCUUAUUCGUCGAGAUCGAUAGUUAUGCGAUUGCUUUCCUUCGCUGCAAAGCUGGGAAAGUAACUCGAUGGGGCUUAUUCUUGAUGCAAGA
Molecule: RNase MRP RNA, 466 nt
Filed under: Sclerotinia sclerotiorum 1980 UF-70
Lineage: Eukaryota; Fungi; Ascomycota; Leotiomycetes; Helotiales; Sclerotiniaceae
Description: RNase MRP
Rfam family: RNase MRP
About the family: RNase MRP is an enzymatically active ribonucleoprotein with two distinct roles in eukaryotes. In mitochondria it plays a direct role in the initiation of mitochondrial DNA replication.
Source: Rfam by way of RNAcentral